UACGUAGGGACCAAGCGUUGUUCGGAUUUACUGGGCGUAAAGGGCGCGUAGGCGGCGUGGUAAGUCAAUUGUGAAAUCUCCGAGCUUAACUCGGAACGGUCAAUUGAUACUGCUGUGCUAGAGUGCAGAAGGGGCAAUCGGAAUUCUUGGUGUAGCGGUGAAAUGCGUAGAUAUCAAGAGGAACACCUGAGGUGAAGACGGGUUGCUGGGCUGACACUGACGCUGAGGCGCGAAAGCUAGGGUAGCAAACGGG
Molecule: ribosomal RNA, 253 nt
Filed under: uncultured bacterium
Lineage: Bacteria
Description: partial 16S ribosomal RNA
Rfam family: Bacterial small subunit ribosomal RNA
Source: RNAcentral